GAGGGUAUAGCUCAGUGGUAGAGCGCAUGCUUAGCAUGCACAAAGUCCUGGGUUCAACCCCCAGCACCAUCA
This 72-nucleotide transfer RNA is filed under the name Camelus bactrianus (Bactrian camel). It matches the Rfam family "tRNA". Rfam says of the family: Transfer RNA (tRNA) molecules are approximately 80 nucleotides in length. Lineage: Eukaryota; Metazoa; Chordata; Mammalia; Artiodactyla; Camelidae. RNAcentral also lists the same sequence under 2 other names. The record is from Rfam by way of RNAcentral.